Molecule: ribosomal RNA, 254 nt
Filed under: uncultured Enterobacteriaceae bacterium
Lineage: Bacteria; Pseudomonadati; Pseudomonadota; Gammaproteobacteria; Enterobacterales; Enterobacteriaceae
Description: partial 16S ribosomal RNA
Rfam family: Bacterial small subunit ribosomal RNA
Source: RNAcentral
UACGGAGGGUGCAAGCGUUAAUCGGAAUUACUGGGCGUAAAGCGCACGCAGGCGGUCUGCCAAGUCGGAUGUGAAAUCCCCGGGCUUAACCUGGGAACUGCAUCCGAAACUGGCAGGCUAGAGUCUUGUAGAGGGGGGGUAGAAUUCCAUGUGUAGCGGUGAAAUGCGUAGAGAUGUGGAGGAAUACCGGUGGCGAAGGCAGCCAUCUGGCCUAAUACUGACACUGAGGUACGAAAGCAUGGGGAGCAAACAGG